Molecule: long non-coding RNA, 1387 nt
Filed under: Triticum aestivum (bread wheat)
Lineage: Eukaryota; Viridiplantae; Streptophyta; Magnoliopsida; Poales; Poaceae
Description: long non-coding RNA (TAES_LNC012048)
Source: RNAcentral
UUAGUUCUACUUCACAAAUUGCGACCAUGAUACAUUACAAGUUUCAUAGAUUUUUGGUUUAAUGAAUGUUCAGCUAAGAAGAAAAUGAAUAAAAUAUCAACAUAUUAAUCUCUACUAUUAAACCACAGUUGGUACGUUAAACGGUACCCACGUAUCCACCACUCGCGUGACCUCCCCACAUCAUCGUUUUUUUCAACCGAACCCAUUUCCCGAUGCAAGGAAAAAAGCCCUACAACACCGACCACCCUUUUCCUUCUCCCUGGUACGACCCCCACAUGCACGAUUGCUCCUACGGCGCCGAUUUUGACCAUGUCUCCCAUGUGAUGUUGCUUUGUCCCGCUCCCUCUGCCAUCCAGACGCACUCCCUUGCCGCCUCUCUGCUUCAAGGUGUGUGCUCUGAAACCGUCACCUCCUUUCUUCAGCCCGUGGCAUCUAUUCUUCAAUGGAUCAUCUCAAUUUUUCGUCCUUCACUGAGUCCGGCGGCGACAACCAAAGAACCAAGUCCCCAUCCAUUUUUUGAGGGCAUGCAAUUAACGAAGGGGAUGUGUGGCCCAUGAGGUUGCUGCCAUCAGCCAUCGAGGCUGCUGAAAUCUAAUGAAAAAGUGCCUACGGUACAGUUCAUUUCCACUCUCAGUUGGUAGAAAUAAUCAAAUUUCAAGCAUACAAAUUCAAAAUGAAAAAGUCUAUUAUGAGCACCAGAAAGAUAGAAAUGAUCCAUUUAUUUCAAUGCAUACUACUACACCUUGGUGCUUAAAGACAAAACUUAGUUGCAAACAGUGCAUUACCUAGGAAGAACAUUUGGUGUACUGAGCAUAACAAUUCAAAAUUAUUCUAUGGCUAUGAAGUGCCUAAAUCUGAGGUUGCAACAUGAAAGCAAGUACUGAUCAAAUUGACAAAUUAUAUGGUUCAUUCGUUCAUAGUGAACACAGAAUUAAAAGAACUGCUAGAACUCAUGGUGGCAUUCUAUAGAAGCAUCAUUCUUCUGCAAGUAUAGUGUUCUUAAGAAAGCAUGGUGUAGCCAAGAGAUCAAGGUGUCAUACAAGCAUUAUUUCACAGCACAAUCUAGGGAAAAAAUCCUUCGUUCUGGAAGAAUGGCAACCCAAGAUGUACCGACGACAAGAUCCACAGUUGCUUUGCAUUACUCCAAAUCAAGAGUUGCGAUAGCAACCUGUUAAUCUGACAUACCUUUAGAUAGAAGCUCAACGACAAUUUCCUUCUGAACCCAUAUUGAGAAAAAUAAGCCAGAUUUGAAUUUUAAUAUCUUUGCCAGCAUUUAUUUUCAACUGUGCAGGCAAAAUAAAACAUGAAUUUCACACCGCAGAAACUACUAAAUGUGAAAUUACAGAAUUUUAGCAUUUGAAUAUGAGAGAAAUGUAAAGCAUUGUAC